CUGUGCGCCUGGGUGACUCCGACCACCGGUGAGUUCUUGCUUCCUGAAUCCUGAUGGAUUGCUUAUCUAAUCAUUUAUGCAGUAUGCUUGCAAUUUGUGCUUGUUCAGAACUGUCAGCUACUUAUAAACACUAGAAUUUUCAGUGUCCAAUCAUGUGUUGAAAUUUCUGUCAUCUUAUAUAUUUUAGCAUGAUUAGUCACUCACCUAUUUCCUCUGAUUUAGUUGGAGAUGCUGCUGCUAUUUGUUCAGAUUGGGGGAGGCUAGAGAGGCUUGCUUGAUGUUGUGUUUGCUACGUCAGAGAGCAGUGAGAACUGAGAUUUGGGUGGGGUGGGGGUGGAGGUAGCAGGGAGAGGAUGUUUACUCGAUGGAAGAUGACAGGGUAUGUUGCUUGCUACUGCUACUGUGUGUGUUAUUGUGUUGUUUUGUAGUAUUUCUGAACUGUUAGAGAUAUUGUCGCAGUGAGAUUUUGUUCCCAAUAUGGAUAUAUGGUCUUUUCCAGUGCAUGGCAAAACUAACUAAUGAUUGGGUGGUAACCUCAUGAUUGGGUGGUGCAUGCAGGGCACGCCUCCGAGCUAGCCGAUGCCUACUGUAUCCAGUGUUCUGCUGCAUCCGGUGCCACCUCAAAGAACACCUUCUAGCUGGGCAUUGAACGCCUCAGGGACGACGAGGUGCAGCAACUGGGGUGGAAGAAGUUAAACUACAUGAUGAAGAAUUGAGUGAAGGGGUUAAGACGGUUGCGUUGUGCAUGCGCUGCUUGCUUGCCGGUGAGUGUCACCAUUGUGACUAGGUGUUCUUUGUUGCCUAUGCCCUCUGUAGUUUAAGGUGUUUGUUCUUUUAGCAGCCCAUAAAAUACUGCAAUGUAAACGAUUGUCUUCUCUAUGUCUACAGCAUGCACUAGAAGUAUAGAACUAAUGGCAGUGUUUUGUCUAUACAAUAUAUUAGUAUAUCAUAUAUGUUUUUGUUUCUAAGUGUAUUAUAAAUUAGUAUAGACUAUCUAUCAUCCUUUCAUUCAGUCUUUGCAAAGAAGUUUAGUUGCCUUCCGUAUGGUUUUAUCAACAGUUCUUUUGUGCAGUUGACACAAUGGUAUGCUGUUUGUGUAUAGUUUUAUCCACC
RNAcentral lists this long non-coding RNA (1113 nucleotides) under Triticum aestivum (bread wheat). RNAcentral's name for it is "long non-coding RNA (TAES_LNC026021)". Lineage: Eukaryota; Viridiplantae; Streptophyta; Magnoliopsida; Poales; Poaceae. The record is from RNAcentral.